UCAUUUGGGUCAAAAAUGCACUCUUAAUUUUGAAUAUGCUAUUAAAUUGUUUUGGCAACAUUCUUCCUGUAAAAAAUUCCAACUACAAGAAACAAUAAACUCUUAUCCCAGUGUUUUAUUCAUAACCAAUAUGUACACAAGCUAUUUGUGAUCUUAAAAUGAAAAACAUCAGGGGGUUGAAAAAAAAAUAAAACAAGACUCAAUUAAAAUCUGAAUUCCAAGCUUGACCUCACUUCAACUCUUUUAACUAAGUGAAGUUGUCCUGUCAGGAGUUAUUAUGUAGUUCUGUGGGUGCAAGAUGCUUUGCAGGCUUGGCUUGUACUCCUCUGUAGGAUCUUAAUCUAGUAAUCUUUCACUGUGCUCUUCAGCAACACUCAUUGCUGUAGAUAUUUCAGACCUGAACAGAGACAUUAUAAGCAAAGCUAGCAUACUUUCACGUUGUGCAUUGAAGGAAAUAAUUCCUGUUUUAGCUGAUUCUUAAAAGAAACUGGAAGAAUAUGGGAAAGGUGGUGGUGUUUCAUUGUUCUUAUUACUAUUGAUUUUGUUUUGUUUUUAACUUCUUGUUUACCAACCAAAAGAGUGUGCAUGUAUAUGUAUCCAACUUCCUUUACCUGAGAGUCUGAGCCCUAACCUAAAGUAUGUGUUUACAGCAUUACCUAGAUAAUCUGCCAUAUUUCUCUAAGGAAUAAUUUUGUUAAUUUUUUUUGUGUGAGUUUUUGUAUUGAUGAUGCAGAUCCUUUUGUCUAAUAUAGACUUUUUAAACUUUGCAAAGGACACUGUCUUCCAUAAGUGACCUUUGCUUUGUAUGAAAUACACAUAAUUAUUUCUGAUUCUCUUGUUUUUGUCUGUUGGAACUUUUUGUGCAUUUAAAUCAAAAUUGAAGAGUACACCCACCGUCUGUUCUGUAUUGAAAAUAUUUACACCAUCCUGGUUAUCUUACCCGUGUAUUUUUAUUGUCCAGUACAUGAUUUCCCUAUUGCCUAUGGCCUAUCAGUCCACCCUUUUUACUGCCUCACAGUGAGUACAUCUGUUGCUGCUGACACCAUUAGUGCUGGCGUACGCAUUUGCUCUGCAGGAACUGGGUCUGACCUCUUCCAUGAAAUUUCAGUUAAGCUUCUUACUUGAAUGUCUAUGCAGUCAUCACUGUAUGUAACUUGGUGAUGUGUUUCUUCAAUGUUCUCACUACUCUAUUUCACAAAUUAAACCUUCUUUUUUUUUUUCUUACCCAACAAACCACCCCUUCCUUCUGACUAAUUUUGCACAUUUACAGUUCCUCAACAUUAAUGAUUCUAAACCUCCAAAUUUACUUGGUAUAGAAGAGAACUUGAACUCCAAAAUGAGAGUAAAAAAAAAAAAGUAGAAUCUCAAUCAUCAUUGGCCUGAUUCAUGUGAAGCUCAACUACUUAUUUAUUUUAGAUGCAGUGCUUCAUCUCAAUACAAACCUGGAUGACUGCAGCUACUGCAUCUGAUUAUAUUCUUCCAUGUUUUAUUCAGAUUUGAUUCCAUGAGUUAAAUCUUUGCUGUUGAGGCUAAUAGUAAAUGUUCCUUGAUAUCAUCAAAAUUGAUUUCCAUUGUGAUGUAGUAGUUCAGCAGAAAUUCCCAGGCACAGAAAUCAGCAGAAUUCAUUUUCCUUGCCCAUGUGACCUGAAGCGAUGGCCAGCUAAUUCCAAUUCCUUAUAUUUUCUGUUCCAGCAAAUCAUUGUGUGAUUUAACAGAGCAAAAAAAAAAUAGUAUAUUAACUCAGUGGUUCAUUGUGAAAUGUUGUUUAUUAUCUUUCCACAGAAGAAGAAUAAAUUUUGAUGGAAAUAUUCAAUUCUGUCUUUUCGUUUGAAUUUGCUGGAAUAGGCUGAGAAGUGAAAGGCUGUCUGUCAGCUCUGGCAAGAACCAGGCACUAAAAGUCUGAAGUUUUCUUCACAGUGCUACAAGGCUAUGUGCUUGGCAGCAUCCUUCCUUCACUGCACUCUGAAAAUCCAGCCCUCCAUAUUCAUGUGAUAACUCUGUGACACAAACUGAAGUUUUCAUUGCAUGAGGCUCAAUCACAUGUGAGCACAUGGCUGAUACCAUCAAGCUCAAAUCCAGAUCUCAAGCAGUAUAAGAAAUUAACCCAGCAUGGCCUUUAGGCAUUGCCAAAGCCAUCAGUAACUACGAAAACUCCCAGAAAGCUCCAGGAACAGUUGUGGAUGUGUCUGUGUAGCAGAGGGUGGGUGAUUACAUGUGGUUUGAACACCUUGACCAAGGGAUUAGUAUUUCAGUGGAAGACUCACAUUAAACAGAAAUGGUUUUACUUUCCAAGGACAAGGGCAGGUGACAGGUCUUUAAGUCUGCCUUCUGCCAUGAUGAGAGAGAAAAUUACCUUCUCUAUAUCCGAGCUUGUACAGGCCUUCUCUGUAAUGGCCUAGCAUUACCUGUUCUGCUUGCUUAGUGUUGUCAUGGUCCAGAUUCUUCCUUUUCUAGCAGUCUUUAAAAUCUCUCCUUUACUUACUGGCUUUCACUUUUGUCUCAGUUUUGCCAAUCACAGCUGUGUCUGCUUCUGCAAGUCCAUUUUUCCUCUUAUAUCUGUAUUAAAAUAUGCCUAGAUGCCAGUUAAUAUACUAAAUCCAUUAGUUCAAAUAAUUUUUGCAGCAAAAAUGAGCAUUCAAGAUUCAGAUGUUGCAUCAUUUAUACAGGAAUUUUGGGAAAGCAUGUUAUGUUACAUUUUCUUUUUUCUUAAAAAAUUUCAAAUGUUCAGGCUUCACAUAUUUCGAUAAUGGCAUUUGAUUGCAAUGCCAAAAGCUUUAUUGGCUUUACACUUUGCCCAUUCAGCUUCUGGAUUGCUCUGUUCUCUGCCUUCUAGGUUUCUACACAAGAGUUAGCUUUUAAUUAUGUGACCACAUCAUGUUUUUCAUAGACCAUUGCCUUGAGAGUGCAAGGGUUGCAGAGGUGGUAAGUUUUCUGUCAUUGCUCAGGCUUGGUGUCUCUCAGCUUUGAAUAUUGGAAAUUGUUAACAUCCAAGAGCGUGUUGUCAGCCCCGAAGUUUUGGAAAUUCCUUUGUGACCUUCAUUCACAAAUGCCCCUCGAACCUAGCGUAGCACAGCAGUGCUGAGAGGCAGUGGGAGUGUAAGUGAAUGAACGCUGGAUGUGCUGCAGGAAGGAGAGAGUCCUGGAGAGUUUAUGACCAUCUAAUCUUUGAGAUAGAGUCUGCAUUCUGGGAAGUGCCAGGGAUUCCUUGUACUUUCAGAUUACUGCUAUGAUGGCAAUGUUCUGCUGUAGCACAGGAAAGUGAGAGAUAUGGUAACCUCUGGAGAGCAUUUUUAUGUUUUUGAGGACAUUUUACUUCCUAAUAGGAUGUAAGAUGUUGAUGACACUGAAAGCCCCAAAGAGUUUGUUUUAGCUGAUUGUACCUUACCUCACAGGGAGUAUGGUGUAAGCUUUUCCCUCUUAGUUGCUAUUCUGUGAGGCUGUGCUAUGAUCAGCAUAUUUAAUUUCUGCAGUUGAGAGUGCCAUUAAGCUUUCCUUGGAAAGGAGCAGGAUUCAGUUUGCCAGAUCCUUUUGCCUCUCCCUCCUGUAAUUUCAGAUGGUGGAACCAGAACUACGUAUCUGUUGCUUUGUGGUUUGUUUUUCCAAACACCAACAGAUAUGGGGGGAGCAGGGAGGAUCUUUUACUUUUUUUGAACUAACCUAAUGGUGACUUUUCCCAUAUAUCUCAUUUUUGUAAUCCUGAAGUGGAUUACACAGUCUAGAUAAAAAAUGCAGCUUUAUAUAAAACGUUUUUCAAUCCCUUCUUAGUAUGUUUAUGUUGAAGCUUGGCUAGAGCUCAUUGAAUUAUUUCCAAUAGUCCAAAGACUGUUUAAAAACUGCUGUCCAUGUGUUUCUUUUCAUCAUUGUUUGAAUGGUCUUUUUUCAAUUCCAUGGACCUUGUUCACUUCUGACAUUUCAUUAAACUGUUAGAGGAAGUUGAGAUUAGUCAGGUCAUUUCAAAUCAACACAGCAGAGUCAUUCAGCUGCAAUAUGAGGGGCGAAGAAAUGCCUACACAUUUGAGUUCCAGGCUAGAUACUAAAUGCCACACCAGACAGAGACAUUAUCCCAGCUGCCCAGCUGGGUUCAUAUCUUAGAGCAAAACGAGUCUGUAUUAUGAAAUUGCUAUAUGGGACUCAAAUUACAGUCCAGUUACAGGGACAGAGAGGAGGAUGCUUUGCACUGAAACUUAUUUUCUUUCUCUAUGUUGAAUAUCUAGUUGCCUUCAUACAUGGUUUGUAUUAAGGAGCCCAGAUACCCAGUAUCAAGUUAACAUAAGCAACUUCAGAGAGAUAUCCUCACCCUUCUGCAAAGAGCUCAAGCAUUCUGGGCUGGUACAAGUUGUGUGCUAGAGCUUUGAGGAUAAUUCCUGCUGCUUCUUUGUGCUGACAUUGUGCAGUUGGAGAAGGCUGUGAUCACGUGGUAUUUCUUCUAGUGGAGUGCAACAUUCUUUACCAGCUUAAGACUUAACCUGUCUGCAGUCUUUCAGUUUCAGAGAGAGAAUUUGCAUAAUUAAAUUCCUCCCAUGUUACAGAAAUACAGGUACAUAUGGGUGCAGACAGAUGAACAAAUGGGCAGAAGAUCACAUCCUGCCUUUGCUGAAGUUACCAUGACCAUUUACUCUUGCCUAGGAAACUGCAGUCUUCUUGUAUCUUGAUUUAUUGAGCCCUAGAAAUUAUGUCUUUGAUUUUCAGUGUUGUUUCAGGUUUAAAUGUUAUCUUCUCUGGCCUUGUUAUGACAUAUACAAAAGGAAUGAGUUUAGGGAUAACCUCUGAUCCAGGUAGCUGUAAGAGAAGCUGUACUUCUCUGAAAUAUUAGCUAGGAUAUUGAAAGUAUAACAAAAUUUGCUAUUUUGAGUGGUUAGUUUUUAUAUUUUAUUUUUAUUUAAAUAUCUGAAGUCUGGCCUGAAACUAUGUAUUCCAGAAGAAGAGAACAAGUGAAUUAAAGACUGCAGAAAGUACUCUUUGAACUGAGCGUACUUGUGUACAGGACAGAUAAGUACUUCUUUUCUGCAGGUAGGCAUCAUAGCAAUUGCAAUCAGUGAUGGGAUAGAUCUCCAGAAAUAAACUCUUACCUACAGUGCACAUUGUUUCUCAUUCCUUCCCUGUCUUAUGUUGUAGAUAGCUCAGGUGCCCUAAUUAACCCCUUUCAGACAGGUUUACUCACCUGAUUUGCAUCUGGGUAAUAAAUUUCCAUCUAGUGGCAUCAAAGGAGCACGUACGUAACCACAGGCUCUCACACCUUCCUUGGGAGCUUAUGAGACCCUCCUAGUUUCUUCCAUAGUAAAGUCUUCCUUGUUUCCCAUCUGCACUGAAAUGUCAAUACUUAUCUCCUAAGCCAAACUGCAAGAAAACUUCAGCCAUAGGGUAAACUGGCUUCUAUGGUUUUGUUGUGAGAGCAUUAUACUGUUUUCUUUACCUUUUACUUUCGUCCCUAUUUAUUCAUACUGAAAAAAUCAGGCUAUUGGACAGCAGAAUGUUUUAACAUUGUGUGUGCUUCUCAGAGCACCCUGACUCAAGUCUCUAAGAAUUAAUCUGAUAAAAUGAUCUGUGCUGAAUCAGGGACAGAACCACAUCAACUCCAUUUUAUCCAGAAUAUGAAAGGUCUGGAAAAAAAUUCACUGAAAAAAUAAGCUCCAUAAGAAAGUGAAGUACAAAGGCAAAGCUUUAAAAGUCAUCAAAACAAAAUUUCCUGGCAAAGGCAGCCUAAACCUCUGGGUUAUUUGGGCCUACUGCCAUCAAUAGGAAUCCUUUCCUUUCAGUGGGCACUGAUUCAGGCCUUGAAGAAAUUGCUCUUGAAAAGAUUCUGGCAGUGACAAGAUAAUUCCAUCAGAAACAGCAGUAUUCAGCUUUCCAUGCAAGAAGCUGAGUGUACUUCAGUAGCUUUGAUUCAGGUGUGGUCAGACCUGCAGUAUAGUUCAUAUAUUACAUUGUAGAGUACAAUAAAACAGAUUUCACCUUUUAAAAAGUGCUGGAAAGGUGAAUCCCAGACUAAAACACAGUAUAGUGAGAAGUACAUUUAUAGUUUUAAUGUGGGUUCGUUGCGCUUUUUUUUUGUUGUUUUAUUUUGUAAUGGCAACUUAUUCAGAAAAAAAACUUUAAUACUUUUAACCUACUCUCAGCUGGCUAUUUCAUCGUAGGGUGUAUCUUGCCUUUCUCUGACUCUUUGGGCAAGACACCUAAGAACUCUGGGAUUUGUUCAUGGCUACACUGUUGCACCCCUAUGCGCUUAUUCAGUUACAGUUAUUUGUCAGCAGCAUUUCUCUGUAGAGUAUUUUAUAGCACUUGAACCACACAGAAAGUGUGCACUGAGAUGGACCUGCUAAAUUUGGUGAAUAAUCAGCUGUGUAUAGAUGUUGUCAUGUAUUUCUGGGGAAGAAAAGGAAACACUAAGGGCACUCUGUCCUUUUCAAAAACACUUACAAGGAAUGGUCUUCCAUUCCUUCUACAGAGCUGCAAAAGAUCCUCUCUUUUUGAAGCUCUAUGUGAAUUUCCACACAGCUCACUACCUUCUCUACUGAUGGGAGCCACAAAUCUCAAGCUAGCAGAUAGCUGAAGAGCGGACUGUGAACUUUUUUGACCAUGUUUAUUUUAAAAUGUUAAACUGAACAAUAUGUGAAGUCACAGAAGCCCCAGAACUCAGUUUUCUGAUGUGUUUCUCUUUUGGCACCACUACCUACUCAUUGUAUCAUACUACUUUUUUGUCAUGGACUUAUCUCUAGAUCUGUCUGUGUUCAUGAUGGGGACAGCAGGUCCACAGGCCCACCAGCCUGAAAAAAGAGGGGAAGGGAACAAAAAGGGAAAGAAACAAUAAUGAAUAAAUAAAUAAAAACAGUGGCAACAAUCUGGGAAGGAAAGCUAAUUUACUAAUUGUAAUACCAGGAAUACAAGUUAAUUGGAAUUGAAGCUAAUAAACCAAAUAAAUGAGAGACAGUGUCCAAAACUGAAGGCCUUACUCUAAAGCUGAAGGCAAGAUGGCUACGGAGCAAGACGCUGCCAAAACGAGCAGAAAAGGAGAAGGGGUGUCUCAUGACCUGUGAACAGUUUUAUCUUUCCCUCUGAAUGGAAAACAGAAAUGCAGAGUCCUCUGGGGUACAUAGUUGUUCUUCUGAGAACCAGGCACCCGGAAAAUCAGCAGUCCAUGGAG
Non-coding RNA from Meleagris gallopavo (turkey), 7141 nucleotides. The record is from RefSeq and is a predicted model, not a curated record. Lineage: Eukaryota; Metazoa; Chordata; Aves; Galliformes; Phasianidae.